RNAcentral lists this ribosomal RNA (641 nucleotides) under uncultured bacterium. Its description in RNAcentral is "bacterial SSU rRNA". It matches the Rfam family "Bacterial small subunit ribosomal RNA", at positions 63 to 693 of the family's 1533-position model. The record is from RNAcentral.
CGAGGGGCAGCGGGGAGGAAGCUUGCUUUCUCCGCCGGCGACCGGCGCACGGGUGAGUAACACGUAUGCAACCUGCCCCUGUCAGGGGGACAACCCGCCGAAAGGCGGGCUAAACCCGCGUACAUGCCACCGGGGCAUCCCGGAGGCAGGAAAGGCUUCCGCCGGACAGGGAUGGGCAUGCGGCGCAUUAGGCAGUAGGCGGGGUAACGGCCCACCUAACCGACGAUGCGUAGGGGUUCUGAGAGGAAGGUCCCCCACACUGGUACUGAGACACGGACCAGACUCCUACGGGAGGCAGCAGUGAGGAAUAUUGGUCAAUGGUCGGGAGACUGAACCAGCCAAGCCGCGUGAGGGAGGAAGGUACAGAGUAUCGUAAACCUCUUUUGUCAGGGAACAAAGGCGGGGACGUGUCCCCGGAUGAAAAACAAAGAAGAAAAAGCAUCGGCUAACUCCGAACCAACAGCCGCGGUAAUACGGAGGAUGCGAGCGUUAUCCGGAUUUAUUGGGUUUAAAGGGUGCGCAGGCGGUCUGUUAAGUCAGCGGUCAAAGCCCGGGGCUCAACCCCGGCCCGCCGUUGAAACUGGCAGUCUCGAGUUGGAGAGAAGUAUGCGGAAUGCGCGGUGUAGCGGUGAAAUGCAUAG